AACGUAGGAGACAAGCGUUAUCCGGAGUUACUGGGCGUAAAGGGCGUGUAGGUGGUUUUGUAAGUCUGGCGUGAAAUUUCUCGGCUUAACUGAGGCAGGUCGUCGGAUACUAUAAGACUAGAGGACGGUAGAGGCGUGUGGAAUUCCGGGUGUAGUGGUGAAAUGCGUAGAGAUCCGGAGGAACACCAGUGGCGAAGGCGACACGCUGGGCCGUACCUGACACUGAUGCGCGACAGCAUGGGGAGCAAACAGG
Molecule: ribosomal RNA, 253 nt
Filed under: uncultured bacterium
Lineage: Bacteria
Description: partial 16S ribosomal RNA
Rfam family: Bacterial small subunit ribosomal RNA
Source: RNAcentral